UACUUACCCAGUGGGAGGGAGGUUGGGGUUGAGGCCCAGGACUUAGGAUUUCCCAUCUGUUGCAGGUGCCCUGCUCCAGGUAGGAAGCUUUCUGCACCCAAGUGAGGAAGGAGGGAGCCCUACCCUGACCCUCCAGCCCAUGCCCCCCAGUCCUCAGCUCCUGAGCUCCUGCACGGCCCACAGUGGGCCACCAUGUGACGCCUCUGGUUCCCGGACUCACGGAAGUUCUCCGCCCUGCUGAAGACGUCUGUGCGCGCUGGCUCUGGAGUUGGAACCAGAGUCUCAAGGAGCGCUGCCUUCUCUGUUAUCCUCGGCCGUGCCUGAAAGGGCAACAAGGUUUUGCAAUUGGAUCGGAGACCGGCCAGGGACCCAGCCAUAAUGGUAUUCAUGUUUAUUCUGUAGGGAGCCCUUUCUAUCUGCAAAUAUUAGCUAAUCCUUGGCUUCGCUCUGAGAGAGAUGCCAGCGAGAUAGACAGAGGCUGGGGCCCGAGUCAGGAGCUAUGCCGAGAAGAAUUGAAGAGCAGCAUCAACGGGUGCCCGGGGGAGCUGAAUCAAGAGACACAGCUAAUCCCUGGCCCUCCUAUUAUCUCUUGACAUAUUACAGUCUGGCUUCUGGUCCCUGGAAUGUCCAGGGAGCAGGGAUUUCUGCUUCAUUAAUUUUCCGGGCACUUUGAGGUUAAUGGGGGGAGAGGAAAAGUCUCUCUUUUCAGAUUUUGUUGUGGAAAAUCACUGAGUCCUGGUUUCCCCUCCUCGCCUUGGGAAGCCCAUGCAGGCCCAAGAUGGAGCCUGGGGGCGGCGGGGGCAGUUGUCAAGCCUGCAUUCCGCAUGCAGCACCUGGUUCUAUGGUGUGCAAGGUGCGGGGGGCUGCGCGGCUUCUCUUCUGGCCCCAGGAUGAACCCUUCAAACUCUUUCAUUUCUCAAACAAGCCCUCUGGCGUGAUGCAGCCUUUCUUGUCAGCGGCCUCUCUCUCCCCAGAGCAGGACGAGGAAACCUUCCCAGAUAACAGGGUGAGAGAAAACACAUGUCAAGUAGAAGCUUGCAAGUGAACGCAGGGAAAAGAAUGCUCCCAGGGCUCCCCAGGCUGGGUGCGCAGCCUGGACAAACCAGCCGGGGCACUGUGACAGGCUCCGUUGUGCUUCCUCUCCACAAAGUCAUGGGUUGAAGCCUUCACCCUCAAUGUCACUGUAUUUGGAGAUAGGACCUUUCAGGAGAUUGAAGGUUAAACAAUGUCAUAAGGGUGGGAGCCUUGUCUGAUUGGACUGAUGUCCUUCUAAGGAGAGGAAGAGACGGCAGGGAUGCUCGCGUGCAGAGGAAAGAGUGUGUGAAGCCACAGCAGGAAGGGGAUCGCCUGCAAGCCCAGGAGACACCAAAGCCAUGAACGCCUCGAUCUUGGACUUUGAGAUCACAAAUAGGGAAAAAUAAAUGUUGGUUGUUGAACCGCCAAGU
This 1445-nucleotide long non-coding RNA is filed under the name Macaca mulatta (Rhesus monkey). RNAcentral's name for it is "lncRNA (ENSMMUG00000063690.1)". Lineage: Eukaryota; Metazoa; Chordata; Mammalia; Primates; Cercopithecidae. The record is from RNAcentral.